GCCAUAUACAACCACCUCCUCUUCUGGGUAGACCUGAACACUUACUGAAGACAUGACACCUUGGAUGAAGAAGGUCCAGUUAAACUCCUAGGCAGAGAAAGAGACAGAUACACAGAUGCCAGGCUAUGAGUUUUGUGCUGUGUUGAAAAGUUCUACACAAAAGAGCAAGAGAGACUCUUUUUCCCCGUGCAUCCUCCCAAGUUCUUGAUUUCUAUACUCACAUUUGCAAUCUCGGUUUCAAGCUGCAUAACUUUUGCCAUUUCAUCUUGGACGAAAGAGUCAUCUUUAGACAUAUUCUUGUCUUCUCGGAUCAUUUUGGCAAUGGUGAUCAUGAACUGCAGGAUGAUCUCCAGCUCAUCUCUCAGGAUGUCAAAAAUGCUGUAUCUGGAGCUAGUUUCUGGGAUAACAUGCCGGUUGAGCCAGCCCCCACAGGCAUACUGGUAGAAAUCCUUGCAAGGUUCAGCUGUUGGGUC
This is a long non-coding RNA of Dromaius novaehollandiae (emu), 473 nucleotides long. RefSeq lists it as uncharacterized. The transcript has 3 exons. The record is from RefSeq and is a predicted model, not a curated record. NCBI's taxonomy places the organism in Eukaryota, Metazoa, Chordata, Aves, Casuariiformes, Dromaiidae.